RNAcentral lists this ribosomal RNA (414 nucleotides) under uncultured bacterium. Its description in RNAcentral is "bacterial SSU rRNA". It matches the Rfam family "Bacterial small subunit ribosomal RNA", at positions 355 to 786 of the family's 1533-position model. The record is from RNAcentral.
UGGGGGAUAUUGCACAAUGGAGGAAACUCUGAUGCAGCGACGCCGCGUGAGGGAAGACGGUCUUCGGAUUGUAAACCUCUGUCUUUGGGGACGAUAAUGACGGUACCCAAGGAGGAAGCUCCGGCUAACUACGUGCCAGCAGCCGCGGUAAUACGUAGGGAGCGAGCGUUGUCCGGAAUUACUGGGUGUAAAGGGAGCGUAGACGGUUAUGUAAGUCUGGAGUGAAAGCCCGGGGCCCAACCCCGGGACUGCUUUGGAAACUGUGUAACUAGAGUACAGGAGGGGCAGGCGGAAUUCCUGGUGUAGCGGUGAAAUGCGUAGAUAUCAGGAGGAACACCGGCGGCGAAGGCGGCCUGCUGGACUGAAACUGACGUUGAGGCUCGAAAGCGUGGGGAGCAAACAGGAUUAGAUACC